This 258-nucleotide ribosomal RNA is filed under the name uncultured Basidiomycota. RNAcentral's name for it is "partial 18S ribosomal RNA". It matches the Rfam family "Eukaryotic small subunit ribosomal RNA", at positions 624 to 886 of the family's 1831-position model. The record is from RNAcentral. Lineage: Eukaryota; Fungi; Basidiomycota.
AAGCUCGUAGUUGAAUUUCGAAUGUGGCUGGGCGGUCCGCCUCACGGUGUGUACUGUCUGGCUGUGUUCUCUUUCUUGGUGAGCCGGCAUGCCCUUUACUGGGUGUGUUGGGGAACCAGGACGUUUACCUUGAGAAAAUUAGAGUGUUCAAAGCAGGCCUACGCCCGAAUACAUUAGCAUGGCAUAAUAAAACUAGGACGUGCGGUUCUAUUUUGUUGGUUUCUAGAGCCGCAGUAAUGAUUAAUAGGGAUAGUUGGG